Molecule: long non-coding RNA, 3944 nt
Filed under: Homo sapiens (human)
Lineage: Eukaryota; Metazoa; Chordata; Mammalia; Primates; Hominidae
Description: HSALNT0152739
Source: RNAcentral
CAUGUGCUGUGUUGACUCAAGGUUUAAUGGAUUUAGGAUUAUGCAAGAUGUGCUUUGUUAAACAAGUGCUUGAAGGCAGUAUGCUUGUUAAAAGUCAUCACCACUCUCUAAUCUCAAGUACCCGGGAACAUAAUAUACUGCGAAGGCUGAAGGCCACAGGGACCUCUGCCUAGGAAAGCCAGGUAUUGUCCAAGGUUUCUCCCCAUGUGAUAGCCUGAGAUAUGGCCUCAUGGGAAGGGAAAGACCUGACCAUCCCCCAGCCCGACACCGGUAAAGGGUCUGUGCUGAGGAGGAUUAGUGAAAGAGGAAGGCCUCUCUGCAGUUGAGAUAAGAGGAAAGCAUCUGUCUCCUGCUUGUCCCCGGGCAAUGGAAUGUCUCGGUGUAAAACCCGAUUGUAUGUUCCACCUACUGAGAUAGGAGAAAACCACCUUAGGGCUGGAGGUGAGACAUGCUGGCAGCAAUACUGCUCUUUAAUGCACUGAGAUGUUUGUGUAUGUGCACAUCAAAGCACAGCACCUUUUUUUAACCUUGUUUAUGACACAGAGACCUUUGUUCAUGUUUUCCUGCUGACCCUCUCCCCACUAUUACCCUAUUGUCCUGCCACAUCCCCCUCUCCAAGAUGGUAGAGGUAAUGAUCGAUAAAUACUGAGGGAACUCAGAGACUGGUGCCAGGGCGGGUCCUCCAUAUGCUGAGCGCCCGUCCCCUGGGCCCACUUUUCUUUCUCUAUACUUUGUCUCUGUGUCUCUUUCUUUUCUCAGUUUCUCAUUCCACCUGAUGAGAAACACCCACAGGUGUGGAGGGGCUGGCCCCCUUCAUAGAAAAUUGUACUUGUUUUUGGUAAUUGGUAACUGGGACAAAGUUUCUUGAAAUAUCUUUAGCUCCCCAAAUAUGCACUGUCAUUGUUGCCGCAGGUGAAAUGCUCAUUGCAGUGCUGCAAAAAGGUGAGGUCACAGGACACAAACCCAUAUCUGAGACCUGGAUGCCUUCCUCCACGCACUCACCCACUGGCUGUCCUGAGCAUCACCCUGCACCUAUUGUCACAGCAACAAGGGAAAAAUCAGCAUAGUGGUCAAGUCCAUUGUCAGCUUCUGACACUGCCUCUUACAAGGAGGUGACUUUGGAAAUGUCAUUCAGCCUUCCUGUGCCUGAGAUCGCCUCACCUGUCAAAUGGGAACAAUAAAGCACUUCAAAGAAUUGUUGUAAAAGUUCUAUGUAAAACACUAUUAUAGUACUCUUAUGCUAGGAAUAUAUAUCUAUACACACAUAUAUUUUUAUAGUGAAACUCUCAGGAAGAGGAAAAUGAAGUUUAAUAGGAAAUUAAUGGCUUGAAAACAAUGGUAAGUGGGAAAGAGUGGCUUUCAGUUGCCAUGGUACGACAGGCCUCUUGUUUCCAUGCCAGAUCCUCUCACUCUGAAUAGGAUGAUCAGUCAUUGAAAAAAGACAAAUGGCCUCCAGGGAUGUGGCAAUAGGAAUAUGAUCUUCUUAUCUCAGACCACAGUAGGAUUCCUGGGCAAUUGCUUUCUUCAUCACCAUUAUAGUUAUUUAUUUCACCAGAUGCACAUUAAGGUCCACAGAUCUGAUUCUGCAGCACCUGACUGUAGCCAACUCCUUGGUCAUUCUCUCUAAAAAAUGCUCCAUAUCCUUGUCAAUGCUUGGUAUUGGAAAUCCUUUUAAUUUAAGUCAUUCUGGUGGUAGUUUUGGUAUCUCAUUAUAAUUUCAAUGUCCAUGAUACAGCUAUUUUUUUUUUUUGAGACAGAGUCUGACUCUGUUGCCCAGGCUGGAGUGCAGUGGUGCCAUCUCACUCACUGCAACCUCUGCCUCCCAGGUUCAAGUGAUUCCUGUGCCUCAGCCUCCUUAGUAGCUUGGAUUAUAGGUGUGCACCACCAAGCCCAGGUAAUUUUUGUAUUUUUAGUAGAGAUGGGGUUUUGUCAUGUUGCCCAGGCUGGUCUCCAACUCCUGGCCUCAAGGGAUCCACCCACCUCGACCUCCCAAAGUGUUGGGAUUACAGGUAUGAGCCACUGCACCCAGUCAUGACAUAGCUAUUAAUAUAGAACUUUUCAUGUGGGCCUAUAGGUCAAUCUAGGAAUUCGCCCUUUCAGAGGCUAUUCAUAUUUAUAUGCAUAUUGGUGCAUGGCAGGGGUUGGUGUAUACACCUUGGUGUAUGGCUGAGCCAUAACUGGAGCAUACCUGAGAAUUACCCUAUUCUAAGUGUGUUUGGAGUCCCAGGCUAAGGAAUCCGGGAGUAGCCAACACUGAGAUUCACUACUUAUCUAUGAAGGACAGCCAUAUCCCUGCCCCAUCCCUUGGAACACAGGCUGUACAGGUGAUCGAGGCCCUUUGUUUUGGGUUAAAUGGAGAUUGCUAGAAGGAGGGUUCUAAGUGAAAAUGCUAUAUGCUAUAUGGACUACAUGCUUUUUUUUUUUUAAUACGAACGGUAGUAUUUCUCCAGGCCAGCCCACCACCACUGGACCACCCCUGUAUAUAACUCCUGAAAAAACCUUGUUUCCUUCACUGGUUCUGCCUCUCUUACAGUGCCAUCCCAAUCGGAAUCAAUGGGGAUCCGGAAGGACAAUUGGCCAUUUAGAUAACAUUUGAAAAUUAACCAAUGUAAUUGGUUACAUUGUAACAUUAUUAUUAAAAUAUUAUUUUAAAAUUAUUAUUAUAUAACAGUAACAUAUUAUUAUUAAAAAUACAUAUGAACAUUUCAAUAAAGGCAGAAAAAGCACUUGAUAUUGAAUGCUUUCCUCUUGAUUUUACAACCAAGACAAGGAAGUCCAUUAUCACUAUUUCUAUUCAAUAGUGGACAUACUAGCCAGCAACAAAACUAAAAGGUAUAAAGAUUACAGGAAAGUUAAACCAUCUCUAUUCACAGAUUGGAAGAUUGUAAUCACAUAAAUUCCAAAAGACUCUGUAGUCUUUUUGUCCCUUACAAAUAAUAAGGGAACUUAGCAACAUGCUUGAAUAUAACAUCAAUAUGUAAAAAUCAAUAGCAUUUCUAUAUUCUUACAACAAACGAGAAUAUAAAAAAAUAAAAUGCUAUUUAACAUCGCAUUUAAAACACUGCUCAAGAAUAAAUCUAAUGAAAUAUAUGUUUGAUCUCUAUACUGCAAUCGAUCCAAGCACAACUUGGAUCCAAACAUUAAGAUAUAAAUAUGUGUACAAUCUACAAAAUAUUACCAGGAAAAAUUAGAGGCCACUUAAAUAAAUGGUGGGAAAUAAUGAUAUUAAUGGAUUGAAGGACAGUAUUGUUAAUAUACUAGUUUUCCCCAAACAGAUCUACAGAUCCAACGCAAGCCCAGUACAAAUCCUAGCAGUUUUGUUUUUUUUUUAAACUGACAAGCUAAUUCCAAAAUUCACCUACAAAUACAAUAGCCUUAGAAUAAGCCAAAGCAAUCUUGGGAGAAUAAAGUCACAGGACUUCAAGACUUAUUAUAAAGCUACAUGAAUUAACACAGUUUGAUAGUGGUAUAAAGUUAGAAAAAGACCACUCCCUCCAGCUCCCCAUUCUGCCCCCAUCCCUGGAAGGCGCUGGCAGCUUUCCCCAUCCGAUCUGCAUGGGUCAAAGGGCGCUGACGGAGGGCCUGACCGACCGGGAUGGGAAACAAAGCGGCCCUGAGAUCACUUUCGGUCUAGGAAGCCCACUAAGAAGAAAGCCUGGGCUGUGGAGUUAUGAGGAAGGGAAUGAAUAGUACACGGGGGCCAGGCGCGUCUCCCCAGGAACCAGAAGGCCUUUAGCUCUAUUAGUUCAGAACGACUUCCAGCGAGUCCCAGCCCUUUUCCAUUCCCAGCGCAACGAUCGCCGGAAUCCAGGCGCCAUCCAGGCCCCUCUGUUCCCUGAAAAGACCACGCAGCCUCCAGUGACAUCACGGAGACGAAAGGGCUUGGCCACCUGUGGCAGCCAUGAUAAAACCUAGGGAAAACGGAGCUCGAAGUAGCUUAUUUU